UACGUAGGGUGCAAGCGUUAUUCGGAAUUACUGGGCGUAAAGGGCUCGUAGGCGGCCAACUAAGUCAGACGUGAAAACCCUGGGCUCAACCCAGGAACUGCGUCCGAUACUGGAAGGCUUGAAUCCGGGAGAGGUGAGUGGAAUUCCUAGUGUAGAGGUGAAAUUCGUAGAUAUUAGGAAGAACACCAGUGGCGAAGGCGGCUCACUGGCCCGGUACUGACGCUGAGGCGCGAAAGCGUGGGGAGCAAACAGG
RNAcentral lists this ribosomal RNA (253 nucleotides) under uncultured bacterium. Its description in RNAcentral is "partial 16S ribosomal RNA". It matches the Rfam family "Bacterial small subunit ribosomal RNA", at positions 524 to 776 of the family's 1533-position model. The record is from RNAcentral.